GCCAUAUCACAUUGAAACACCGGUUAGCAUACAAUCCCUGAAGUUAAGCAACGUCAAGCCUGGUCAGUACCUAAAUGGGUGAUUGCUUGGGAAUACCAGGUGCUGUU
Acanthosepion pharaonis is the source of this 107-nucleotide non-coding RNA. The record is from the annotation of a GenBank genome assembly. NCBI's taxonomy places the organism in Eukaryota, Metazoa, Mollusca, Cephalopoda, Sepiida, Sepiidae.